AUUGAACGCUGGCGGCAGGCCUAACACAUGCAAGUCGAACGGUAGCACAGAGAGCUUGCUCUCGGGUGACGAGUGGCGGACGGGUGAGUAACGUCUGGGAAACUGCCCGAUGGAGGGGGAUAACUACUGGAAACGGUAGCUAAUACCGCAUAACGUCGCAAGACCAAAGUGGGGGACCUUCGGGCCUCACACCAUCGGAUGUGCCCAGAUGGGAUUAGCUAGUAGGUGGGGUAAUGGCUCACCUAGGCGACGAUCCCUAGCUGGUCUGAGAGGAUGACCAGCCACACUGGAACUGAGACACGGUCCAGACUCCUACGGGAGGCAGCAGUGGGGAAUAUUGCACAAUGGGCGCAAGCCUGAUGCAGCCAUGCCGCGUGUAUGAAGAAGGCCUUCGGGUUGUAAAGUACUUUCAGCGGGGAGGAAGGCGGUGAAGUUAAUAGCUUAACCGAUUGACGUUACCCGCAGAAGAAGCACCGGCUAACUCCGUGCCAGCCGCCGCCGUAA
RNAcentral lists this ribosomal RNA (504 nucleotides) under uncultured bacterium. Its description in RNAcentral is "partial 16S ribosomal RNA". It matches the Rfam family "Bacterial small subunit ribosomal RNA", at positions 30 to 523 of the family's 1533-position model. The record is from RNAcentral.